AGAAUAGAAUGAUUUUGGUUACAUUAAUUUUAUUAAUGAGGGAGUCGUAAGUAAGAUUUCUAUUUUG
This 67-nucleotide transfer RNA is filed under the name Schistosoma turkestanicum. RNAcentral describes it as "tRNA-Cys". Lineage: Eukaryota; Metazoa; Platyhelminthes; Trematoda; Strigeidida; Schistosomatidae. The record is from RNAcentral.